AUUGAACGCUGGCGGCAGGCCUAACACAUGCAAGUCGAACGAGUGGCGGACGGGUGAGUAAUGUCUGGGAAACUGCCCGAUGGCGGGGGAUAACUACUGGAAACGGUAGCUAAUACCGCAUACCAUCGGAUGUGCCCAGAUGGGAUUAGCUAGUAGGUGGGGUAACGGCGCAUCUAGGCGACGAUCCCUAGCUGGUCUGAGAGGAUGACCAGCCACACUGUAACUGAGACACGGUCCAGCCUCCUACGGGAGGCAGCAGUGGUGAAUAUUGCACAAUGGGCGCAAGCCGGAUGCAUCCAUGCCGCGUGUAUGAAGAAGGCCUUCGGGUUGUAAAGUACUUUCAGCGUGGAGGCGUUACCCACAGAAGAAGCACCGGCUAACUCCGUGCCAGCAGCCGCGGUAAUAC
This 406-nucleotide ribosomal RNA is filed under the name uncultured bacterium. RNAcentral describes it as "partial 16S ribosomal RNA". It matches the Rfam family "Bacterial small subunit ribosomal RNA", at positions 30 to 526 of the family's 1533-position model. The record is from RNAcentral.